UAAUACGUAGGGGGCCAGCGUUGUCCGGAUUUACUGGGCGUAAAGCGUGCGUAGGCGGAAGUUUAAGUGUGGCCUGAAAGCCCCCGGCUCAACCGGGGAGGGUGGCUGCAAACUGGACUUCUUGAGGGCGAUAGAGGAGAGUGGAAUUCCGGGUGUAGCGGUGAAAUGCGUAGAUAUCCGGAGGAACACCAGUGGCGCAGGCGGCUCUCUGGGUCGGCCCUGACGCUGAGGCACGAAAGCGUGGGGAGCGAACGGGAUUAGAUACCCCGGUAGUCCACGCCGUAAACGAUGGUCACCAGGUGUGUGCGGUAUCGACCCCGCACGUGCCGGCGCUAACGCAUUCAGUGACCCGCCUGGGGAGUACGGCCGCAAGGUUG
This 377-nucleotide ribosomal RNA is filed under the name uncultured bacterium. RNAcentral describes it as "bacterial SSU rRNA". It matches the Rfam family "Bacterial small subunit ribosomal RNA", at positions 521 to 896 of the family's 1533-position model. The record is from RNAcentral.